Molecule: transfer RNA, 80 nt
Filed under: Termitomyces sp. T159_Od127
Lineage: Eukaryota; Fungi; Basidiomycota; Agaricomycetes; Agaricales; Lyophyllaceae
Description: tRNA-Trp
Rfam family: tRNA
About the family: Transfer RNA (tRNA) molecules are approximately 80 nucleotides in length.
Source: RNAcentral
GACCCCUUAGCUCAGUGGUAGAGUGUGUGAUUCCAGCACGGGCAUCCACAAAGUCAUCCGUUCAAAUCGGGUAGGGGUCA